AAACCAUGGUGGGGACACUUAAGGAGUAAAUCGUUGAAUCUUUUCCAACACUCAUAAAAUUGCUCACCCUGUCUUUGAUAAAAAUCACGUAUCUCUCUCUUAAGAGC
The sequence is a small nucleolar RNA, 107 nucleotides long. It matches the Rfam family "Plant small nucleolar RNA R71". From Rfam's summary of the family: R71 is a member of the C/D box family of snoRNAs containing the C (UGAUGA) and D (CUGA) box motifs. Multiple nearly identical copies of this snoRNA have been identified in Arabidopsis, and it is thought to function as a 2'-O-ribose methylation guide for 18S ribosomal RNA. The record is from Rfam.